This is a long non-coding RNA of Mirounga angustirostris (Northern elephant seal), 5730 nucleotides long. RefSeq lists it as uncharacterized. The record is from RefSeq and is a predicted model, not a curated record. The transcript has 6 exons. NCBI's taxonomy places the organism in Eukaryota, Metazoa, Chordata, Mammalia, Carnivora, Phocidae.
UAGGCUCAGUAGUUCUAGAAUAUCCUGGCCCCUUGGAUGGGAAGGACCAGCCAGGACCACUGCUGCUGCACAGCUCUUUGGGGUUUCCCUCCUUCCCCUCUUCUUCCCUAUUCUUUAUGGGGCCAAGGCUCAGAAAAGUUUCUGGAGGGGGUGUCUGCAAACUUCUCCUUCACAGGACUACCCACUUACCCAGCCUGCUUCCUUUCCUUAACCCCUUUGGACCACAACCACCUGGCCGCUGCUAUGUAGUUAUGAAGGCUCCAGAGGUCUUCUGAGACCCCCCACCUCCCUGCUCUUCUGACUGAUGGCACUCCUCACCAGGCUCACAGCUUCCAUCCUGCCAUGACCCCAACACCCAUCUUGGUGCCCUCCCUGCAGCCCACAUGCUCACUGCCUUGGGGUCAGCCAGGCUCGCUCUGUCCCUGGAGCUUCCUGCAGCCCUACCCUCUUCCUGAAGAAUCCCGGGGGCUCCUUGGUGCUUGUGAGGAGCCUGGCCUCCUCCUGCCAUUCAAGGUCCUCCAAACUCUACCAGCCUCUGUCCAAGUGAUUUGAAUCAGAGCUCCCCAGGGCUCGUUGGGAUGAAACACCCUCUGUAGACACCCUGACUCCCCUGCACCCAUCUCCUAUAGGAGAGGGAGUGGGAGGACAGAAGAGGCAGAUGGAUGGGGUGUCUGCACAGCUUGAGGGGCAAGGUGUGGGGGCAGGCAGAGAGGGCAGACCCCAGGAUGGACAGAUGGACAAGGUAUCCAGCUCUCCCCUUUCCUGAACGGCCACAGGAGGAAUGAGGUCGCUGCACCAUGCCUCUCGGAGAGAUGCUGAGAGUGUGAAUGAGAACAGCUUGUGAGGGGCUCUGACGAAGCGGCCUGGGGAGGAGAACUUUCGUAACCUUCCGGACCUGGCAUUGAACCAGAGGACAAAUCACAUGACCCAAGUUACUCUGCCCUUUUAGCUUUCCUGGAUCACAACCCAAAUGUUCUUACACUCUGCAGGGGCUCUCUAAUCUGGUGAGGGGACAUGGAUGUGUCAGGGGAGGGCAUGAGGGUUCUGAGCUGCAUAGUGUAUAUGACAUCUUAUGGGUAUGCGCACACGUACAUUUUGUCCUAGAAUGUCUACAGCUUCUUGAAGGGGUCUGUGACCCAUAAAAGGGUCUAACUUGGUACGAGGCUAUCCAGACUGGACCCACAUUUGCUGUUUACUCCCAGCAAAUCUGGUUCUAAGUUUAAGGACUGUCAACAUUCACCCUGAAGAAUCCCCACCUCUUCACUUUGAAACCUUAAUACUGAACCUGCUUUGGGAGGCUUGAGAUCAAACCUGCCAGGCAGGUGCACGCUCUAUCCUUCUCUUCUUCCCAGGCCAGCCUCGGUUUCCCUGGACCUGCCUUAUGUUACAGCCACACCCCACACUUCAGGGAAUGUUCCCAGCAACAGGGAAAUCAUCUGCCCCAUGCACAUAUCCUGCAUCUCAGGAGCCCCUUCUCCAAGAUUUUCUUUACAUUUUAAUUUAGCUGCAUGGACAUCUGCUCGUAUAGGAGUUUUCAUGUGUUUCCUGGACCCACAUACAGUUUCCUAACGUGACGUACAAACAGGGUCGUUCCUGCGAUAACGUCAGUGAUUACGGCCAAAUGGCUUCUUUCUUGGUCUUGUCUACCUUCCUCCUCAAUCCUCCUAACCCUGAAAGCUGACCUCAGGAUGCUCAUGAAGACCGAGUACAGCAAAAAAAGGAGGUUUCCUCAAGGGUUGCCUUGUCCCACAAGAACUUUACCUUAUUUUUUCACAUGUAAUAUGUUCCUGAAAGUGUCCAUGAAUACCAAAUGUUCCAAAGUUGGGUUCCUUGUGCUACAGGAGAGGUACUGGUUAAGAGCAUGGUUCUUACUUGGUGGCAUGGGCAUAGAUCUGCCACUUGCCUGGUAUGUGGUUGAGAGAACGCUCUGCACCUCAGUUUUCUGAAAACGGGAAUGUUUAUAGUAACUAUCUUGCAGGGUUCUUGUGCAAAUUAAGUGAUUUAAUGUAUUGAAAGCACAGAAACAGUGCUUUCUGAAGCAGGGUCUUACCCAUUGUAUGUGUUAGCAAUUAUUGUAUGUUUUAAGGUGGGUUCUAUACUCAGCUGAAAAAAAGAUUGACUCCCUAAUUAUAUUUUGCCUCUAAGACACAAUCACUCACGAUCUAUUCUAAGGCUUUGUUUUCUAUCCCUCACGAGUGAAUCCAGUCAACCAUCUCAAGACCAAUGAGCACUCAGCUGAAGCCAAAGGUUUGCUGCUUUCAGCCAGCUGAUGACUUUUAUCUUAGUUCCAAUUGUGUUAAGUUUGUGAAACUUCUGUUUCUUAUUACUGUGCCUGCACUUUUAUUCUCCUGUUUUUGCUCAUUUUUUGCAUGCACAACCACAACAAUGUAUUCAAACAAUUACAUCAACAUGGUGUAGAGCACAGGCCAAGUGGAAUGGCAGUACUUCAAAAAUGGGACUGUUGGCCAAAGGUUUGUGUCACCUCAUGACAUCUCAGCAUGUUUGCUGGUGGAUGUGCAAAAGUUGGAAUUUGGUGAAGGAAAACCAAUUUAGGAAUGUCGAAGUCCAAACUAUGAUGGUGGUGAUAGUUCAGAAGCCAAAGACCAUUGAGGCUGGGACAUAUGCUUGGGUUCAGGUCGUGAUCUGCUUGUCGAAAGGACAAUUUGUGACCAGGAAGUUGGAGACAGUCAUCCUUCACCUUAAUAGUAGACCCAUUCCAAGAGAGCUGGCUAUAAAGCAACCAUUCAUAAUGUGAAUCAUGUAGUGUUUUUUUUUUUAAUUCCAUUAUAAAGGUAAGCUGGUCUUCUAAAGAAAAUGGAUGGCUUUGACAAGUUUGGUGACAGGUAUGUCUAUGUCAUGCUGGGAUUGUGGUGAGAGAGAUUUGAGAACACUUUUAAUAAUUAUCUGUUCCUUCCUGUAGCAGAAACGUAAUAGGGGGAGAUUCUUAAAUGGAAUUGUGAGUUCUGCUGUGUACUCUGCUUAAGAAGUUCUGGGGAGCAGUGGACACUCAAGGCUGCCUCCUCAGUGUGGCCUGGGUCCCUCUUCCCUUUUGUUCUCCGGGAGAACAUCUUACAUUAUAGCUGAUAACUCACUACCAUCCAUUCUUUAUUCCACAUUCCUUUGUUUAGUUUUGUGAUUGGGGUGAGUGAGACAGCGUUGGAGUUCUUCACUCUCCUUACAGUUAGGGUUUAUAUAAUCUUGGUAUUCUCCAAGACUACCAAGCCCAACGCGGGGCCUGAACUCAUGACCCUGAGAUUAAGACCUGAACUGAGAUCAAGAGUCAGACACUUAGGGGAGCCUGGGUGGCUCAGUCAGUUGGGCGUCCGACUCUUGGUUUCGGGUCAGGUCAUGAUCUCGGGGUCAUGGGAUUAAGCUCCACAUUGGGCUCCACGCUCAGUGGGGAAUCUGCUGGAGAUUCUCUCCCUCUCCCUCUCUUUCUGCCCCUCCCCCCACUCACAUGCUCUCUCUCUCAAAAUAAAUAAAUAAAUCUUAAGAAAAAAAGAGUUGGAUGCUUAACCAGUGAGCCACCCAGGCAACUCGAUAUUCUCCUUACUUUGAUGGCUGGAUCCUAGAUGUUGGAGAGGACACAUGUGACUCUGAACAAGUGUGUCUGGUGAUGGACAUCAAGGGAAGCCUGAUGCCCAUGGAGGAUUUCACCUGUCGACAGGAUGGCCCUGUAUACAGAAGCAACCAAGAGCCCCAGUCAGGGGAUACCAUCACCAGAUAGCACUUCAUAGGGACAAAACACUGAAUUCCUUCUUUGCCCUCUCGUGUUGGCAUACGAGUGCAACAAUGCCUUCCAAGCUUCUACAGGCCAGCCUGGCUGCCACUGUCCCUAGAUGUUUCUGGGGACUCCAAGAGGUUUCAGACUGAGGAGAGCCCAGUCUUGUGGUCCUGGCCAGGUCAGGUUAGGUGGUUCGAGGAGCUCACACCUACCUCCUCUGUCCCGGAUGCCUGUACAUUGGUCAGAGUUCAUGGAGUGGGAUGCCAUGUCACAUUCUACUGGUGACGAGGGGCAGCAAUAAGGCCAUUUGACUGGCCCCUUCCAUCCCUGAUGUUGCACAACCCGUGACUCUAUAAUGACCCCUGUCAGAAGCCAGGAGAGGCAAGAUGAGGACCAGGGCAAAAAGAUAGUCAACUCCAGCAAGAGGUCAGGACACUGGACCUGCUAACCAAGCUGAAAUGCUUCCUGCAUACCAAAGGCUCAAGGAGAAUAGAAAAGAGCAAAUCUCCCGGACCUCCUGGAAAGUCCCUGCCAGGCUGACAAUCUCUCUACUUUCAAGAUGUAAAAGGUGUAUUCCCCGAGAUAGACUCACUCAUCUUCAAUCAUUUUCCACCAUCUCCAGUCACAAGCAGCAUCGAAGGUGAUGAAUUAGGACUCGAUGGACAUGUUUUCCUCCAGAGCAGCGUGUUAAACCCAAAGCAGCUCCCGGCUCCGUCAAAAUCAGAUUAACCGAGAAAAGCCCUCCGCGGCAGAGCCCUGGGGUCUCCCCCAGUGCCACCUGGGCCGCUCUUCUCUGAAACACAGUCAAAUGAGGGUGGAGAACUCAUUGUUUUUUAUCAAGGACAUGACCCACAGGAUGGAAAAAUGAAUCCAUGGGGAAAGCCUCUAGAUUUAUUAUUUGCCAGUGAAAGCAAAAAGCUGGUUCGAGGGAGAGGCAGGAAAAGAAGAAUGGAGAGGGACCCCUGGCAGGAGGCUUAGAGGAUGAUGGUUUGAGCCAGUUCAAGGAAUAUUUGGUGCCAAUGGUGAAGAUCAUAGCCAGAAAGGAGAAGGCCAAGUUAAGAAAAUGUUCAUGCUCUUUGCAAUGGAAAAAACAUGAAGAUAAACCAAGAAGCUCAGUUCCAGCUGCUGUGGGUGUGAGGUGAGAGAAACAGCAUUGGGCCUGGAAAGAGAGGGCCUGGGUGUCUCUCCUACCUUGGUCUCCAAGGAACCUGCAGAACCACAUCUGUAAAAAGGAGACAAUAAUGUAUUCUUUGCUGGAUUAAAUAAGCUCACGAAUAAAAAUUUUGAAAAGCACUAUACAAUAGAAGCUAUAUUUAGAGAGUUGGAGUUAUGCAUACCUAUGAAUAAUUGAUUGACAGUAUAAAACUACAAUACUAGAGAUGUCCCAGGUUAGGAGAGAAAAGAGGCUGACUGAGAUGCUAUGAUUUGGGACCUACAAUUUAGACAUGUAUCAGUUAGGAUUGGUUUGGCUUCUUCCUACAGCCAAAGUAAUAGUGGCCUAAAUAAGAAGUUGUCUUGCUCUCAUUUAAGGUGCAAAAGUAGGCAGUCCAGAACUUGUGAGGCAGUCUUAUGGUGUCAGGAACCCAGGAUAGUUAUUUUGUUCCAUUAUCUUUGCAAGAAGCCUCUAUUCUACAAAGUUACCUUAUGGUCCAAAAUGGCUGCUAAGCCUCCAGCCAUUAUAUCUGCAUUCCAGGCACGUGAAAGGGAAAAGGAGCAAAGAAGAAGACACACACCAGCAGCCUCUUAAGAAAAUUUCUUAGGAGCUGGCUCCAAAUACUGUUAUUUAGUUAACUAAGUAAAAUUUAAAUUAAAACAAUAAGUAAUAAAAAAUGUUUUAAAAACCCACAAAUAAUUGGCUAUACAUAGCAGCAGAGGAGGCUGAGAAAGUCAAUCUUUAUCCCGAAUGGCCAUGUGCCCAGCUAAAACCAAGAAGUUCUGUUUUUAUUUUAAAGAGGACAAUGAAUAUUACAAUAGGCAACUAGCUAUGCUACACUAAGUAGCAAAUU